Molecule: long non-coding RNA, 1882 nt
Organism: Oncorhynchus tshawytscha (Chinook salmon)
Lineage: Eukaryota; Metazoa; Chordata; Actinopteri; Salmoniformes; Salmonidae
Source: Ensembl
GGAAAAUGAACAUGUAAUGUGUCAUCUUUGACACUUGCAAGCAGACCGCAUUUCAAUCACAUUCAAUACACACCCAAGACUAACUGAAGUUACCAUUCUCAGCAUUCCAUUUCCUUAAAAUCUGUCAAAAUGACAUUUGGCACAGGACCAAUGUUUCCACUGUGUUCUAGCAUGCUACCUGGUCCUUAAAUCAUUUUACCUGUUAAGAUGACUAAUGCAUUUAUUCUAGCAAUGUAAGAGAUUUGUGAGCACUACUUUAGUCUUCUGGGGCAACAAGUUAUGACAGAAGAGAAGCUGCAUGUAUUAAAAUAUAGUUGACAAAUGGCCUACCAAAAGGAAGUAAGCAGAAACUUUUCUAAAUUAGGGGUGAACAUAGCCAUUAAGCUCAGUAAUGGUGGAUCAAAUUGAGCAAGUAGCCCACUUUAAAUGAAUUUGACAGAGUCAGACAACCAUGAGACGUUUCACCACAAAAACAGAAUUGAUGGUUACAUGCCACAGUAGCCCAUCUCCAGGGUACAAGCUUUCUCAGGUUUUUGUAAAACAGGAUUUGAUGUUUACAUGUCAACACAAAAUAAAUACUUUAGUAUCCCGAACGGGAUAUUGAUGGUCAGUGGCUUUAACGUAGAGCCAAUCUUGGGAUUUGUCAACCAGCAGCAAAGAAAAUAAAUUAUAUAUUUCAAAUCCAAAAGAAUAGGAACAUUCCCUUUUACUACAAAUUGCACUGGCAACCAACACGGUUCUCAACCAGCUAGCCAAAGGUAGACAUUAAACACACAGUAUUUCAAAACACAAGGAGGCACUUAAAGUACAAUAUUUUAUUGUUUUACAAGUAAUGCAGGGUAGCAUGAGCAGCAGCAUCUCCCUGGCCGACGCAAAAGCAUACAGUGGAAGCUUAAAGAAAGUGUCAGCAACAACUUGGAUUUGUCAUCUAAAGGAUGAAUCUACCAUUGCAAUUCUGUUGAUAGAUGAUUAGUACAAAUGAUUUCUAAAUCAGAACGCAAAGUGCAGGUGAGUGUAAAAGUUGCACAUUACAUCCCAGUAGACUUCCCUUGUGGCAGGGCACCUUUAGCAGGUUGUGAGUUUUUAGCAGGUGGGGAUAUGCUUGGUUCAGAGAUGCCAACGUCCUUGAGAGUAUCUCCGCUAUCAAAAUGGUAUAACCUCCCCAGUGGUGUGGCAGGUUUGGGAGUAGACAGUCUUGCCAUUCUCAUACACAGAUUUGUAAAUAUAUUGGGAUGAGAACUGACUAUUCAACGAUGCUGCCUUGAACGCUGAUGGAGCUGAGACAUUGGGUACUUUCAUUGGCCCCAUCAGACCCAAAAUCCUGAGAAACACCACUGCUGCUAAAAUCCAUGUUGCUUGAGGAGUUGGCCCUCCUGUUCGAGGCCUGUGGCUUCCGCCGAGGCAAGGGCGCCUGUGGCUUCCGCCGAGGCAAGGGCGCCUGUGGCUUCCGCCGAGGCAAGGGCGCCUGUGGCUUCCGCCGAGGCAAGGGCGCCUGUGGCUUCCGCCGAGGCAAGGGCUCCUGUGGCUUCCGCCGAGGCAUUUGAACCAGAUUUGAUGAGGUACCGACUUGAUGAGGUACUGUGGCCGGUUUCUUCACCUAAGGUAUUUGGGACAGUCGUUACGCUUGAUGAAGCAUUAUGGAUGGCCGCUUCCGAGGCAUUAUGGGUGGCCACUGGCAUGGCACUGUGCCCAGUUGCUUCCACUACCGAGGCACCAUGGCCAGUUGCUUCACCUAAGGUAUUUGUGCCAGUCUUGACGCUUGCUGAGGCAUUGUGGGUGACUGCUUCUGAGGCACGGGAUCCGGUUGCUCCACCUAAGGUAUUUGGGCCAGUCGUGACGCUUGCAGUGGCAUUACGGGUGGCUGCUUCACCUGCCGAGACAC